GAGGGCGCCCUAGUCGCAGUACCUCGCAAGAGCGGGCAUGGAAGUUCUAUCCUAUUGCCCGAGACAGGACUGUCUUCCAGAUAAAGAAUUGCUGAACUGUUCGUUUUUCCCUGGUGGAGCGUCUACUGAUUUAUGCUUAAUCCUAACUAGUAUAUUGAUGGUGUCACAAUAAUGGAUGUUUCGAUGCCCUCGUAUUUUUUGCAUUGAUUCUACGUUUUUGCUUUUGAUAAGUAAUUAACUUCUAGUGUGUUAUUGCUGGUAGCUGCCCUUCUACAACUUUAUAGAAGAAUAUGAGACGUUGGUGUAUUCAUGUUUGAAGUGUUGGAAGGUUUAGUCUACUACUGUUUAAGCUGGUUUACAAGUGGCAUUGUGUUCCUUUUCAUAAAUUUAUGGCGUUCAAAAUUACAGAAAAAGAUACAAAGAGCUAUUGGUUAUUUAUAUUUAAAACUAGCAAAAAUCGCAGUGAAGGCCCAGUAUUGACCUACAGCCAGGGACGUAUAGGCCUAAUCAUAUAAUAUUGAUCGGGUUGAGCCAGAGACGUAUAUACGUCUCUGGGUUGAGCACAACCCUGCAUUUGAGGGAUGAUUACUGCUUUGGGUAGUCUCAGAUAAUUUCGAAGUAGAAACACAUUAAGUUCUUUUAAACAUUUGCAACAUAUGAAGGUCAAUCAGUAGAUUGUAUAUUACUGGACCUGUAUAGAUGAACAGAGUUAAUGUUGAUACGUGCAUCAUUUAUGAUAUUAAACAACUUAUCAGAAGACUGUUUUACAAAAUGUGUGGUUCGUUUAGAUCAGGACAGUUUAACAAAGAGAGAGAUAUCAUGCGUGAAUAAAUGUUACGACAAGAACAUGGCCUAUAUGACAAAUUUUAAGAAGUUCUGGAUUAAUAAUAAUGAGGAACAUGCCACUAAAGACAAAACAUGGAAAGAUGGGAGAUAACUCUGGAAUGAAUAUUUCAACCUCAUGUGCAUUUCUAUUAUAUAUAUGUAUAGUGAUAUUUUCUGUUUAGUUGCUGAUUAAUUGAUAAUUAAAAACAUAUUUGUA
This is a long non-coding RNA of Ylistrum balloti, 1042 nucleotides long. RefSeq lists it as uncharacterized. The transcript is spliced from 3 exons. NCBI's taxonomy places the organism in Eukaryota, Metazoa, Mollusca, Bivalvia, Pectinida, Pectinidae. The record is from RefSeq and is a predicted model, not a curated record.